RNAcentral lists this ribosomal RNA (1198 nucleotides) under Pristimantis gloria. RNAcentral describes it as "partial 16S ribosomal RNA". It matches the Rfam family "Bacterial large subunit ribosomal RNA", at positions 943 to 2925 of the family's 2925-position model. The record is from RNAcentral. Lineage: Eukaryota; Metazoa; Chordata; Amphibia; Anura; Strabomantidae.
ACCUAAAGUAAUCUCGAUUCACAUAAAUCCCCAUACCACUUUAGAGCAAUUCAAAUGAGGUACAGCCCAUUUGAUACAGGAUACAACCUUAACUAACGGGUAACAUUAAAUCUACACCUUCAAGUAGGCCUAAAAGCAGCCACCAUUAAAAGCGUCAAAGCUUAAUCAUGUUUUCAUCAAUUUAAAAUCCCCCAUUGACCCCUUUAACUUUACUGAGAAUUUCUAUAUCGUAUAGAACAUUUUAUGCUAAAACUAGUAACAAGAGAAAACCCUCUCCCAAUGCAAACAAAAGCCAGCAAGAACCCAUCACUGGCAACUAACAGACCUAAACAAAAGUAACAAAAUCACUAGAAAACCCUACUUCUCACAACUGUUAACCUAACACUAGAGCAUUUCAGGGAAGAUUAAAAGAAAAAGAAGGAACUCGGCAAACACUAAUCCCGCCUGUUUACCAAAAACAUCGCCUCUUGUCCCUAUAAGAGGUCAAGCCUGCCCAGUGACUUUGUUCAACGGCCGCGGUAUCCUAACCGUGCGAAGGUAGCGUAAUCACUUGUUUUCUAAAUAAAGACCAGUAUGAAAGGCAUCACGAGGAUUAAACUGUCUCCUUUUUCCAAUCAGUGAACCUAAUCUCCCCGUGAAGAAGCGGGGAUUAUUUUAUAAGACGAGAAGACCCUAUGGAACUUAAAACAUUAUUACACCUGCCACCAAACUCAACUACUCAGAUAUCUCCCCAAAUGGCACUUUGAUUUUAUGUUUUCGGUUGGGGUGACCGCGGAGAAAAACUGAUCCUCCACGAUGAAGGGGGGACUCCCCCUAAACAAUAAGCUACAUCUUUAUGUAUCAAUAAAUUGACAUCCAUUGACCCAAUGACUUGAUUAACGAACCAAGUUACCCUAGGGAUAACAGCGCAAUCCACUUUAAGAGCCCCUAUCGACAAGUGGGCUUACGACCUCGAUGUUGGAUCGGGGUACCCCGGUGGUGUAGUCGCUACUAAAGGUUCGUUUGUUCAACGAUUAAAACCCCACGUGAUCUGAGUUCAGACCGGAGCAAUCCAGGUCAGUUUCUAUCUAUAAAAGAGCUCUUUUCAGUACGAAAGGACCAAAAUAGCAUGGCCAAUACCCCCACAAGCCAUAGUUAAUCAUUUUAGAUCCCCACUCAAAAAAUUAUUAACCUUACCUUACACCUCAAAAAAAGAACA